GUGCCAGCAGCCGCGGUAAGACGAACCGUGCGAACGUUGUUCGGAAUCACUGGGCUUAAAGGGCGCGUAGGCGGUCGAUCACGUCCGGGGUGAAAGCUUUCGGCUUAACCGGAAAAGUGCCUUGGAUACGGAUCGGCUUGAGGGAGGUAGGGGCAGGUGGAACUUCCGGUGGAGCGGUGAAAUGCGUUGAUAUCGGAAGGAACGCCGGUGGCGAAAGCGACCUGCUGGAUCUCUUCUGACGCUGAGGCGCGAAAGCUAGGGGAGCAAACGGGAUUAGAUACCCCCGUAGUCC
Molecule: ribosomal RNA, 292 nt
Filed under: uncultured bacterium
Lineage: Bacteria
Description: partial 16S ribosomal RNA
Rfam family: Bacterial small subunit ribosomal RNA
Source: RNAcentral